AGCGGCGGAUGGGUGAGUAACACGUGGGGAACCUGCCCCUAAGUCUGGGAUACCAUUUGGAAACAGGUGCUAAUACCGGAUAAUAAAGCAGAUCGCAUGAUCAGCUUUUGAAAGGCGGCGUAAGCUGUCGCUAAGGGAUGGCCCCGCGGUGCAUUAGCUAGUUGGUAAGGUAACGGCUUACCAAGGCGACGAUGCAUAGCCGAGUUGAGAGACUGAUCGGCCACAUUGGGACUGAGACACGGCCCAAACUCCUACGGGAGGCAGCAGUAGGGAAUCUUCCACAAUGGACGCAAGUCUGAUGGAGCAACGCCGCGUGAGUGAAGAAGGUUUUCGGAUCGUAAAGCUCUGUUGUUGGUGAAGAAGGAUAGAGGUAGUAACUGGCCUUUAUUUGACGGUAAUCAACCAGAAAGUCACGGCUAACUACGUGCCAGCAGCCGCGGUAAUACGUAGGUGGCAAGCGUUGUCCGGAUUUAUUGGGCGUAAAGCGAGCGCAGGCGGAAAAAUAAGUCUAAUGUGAAAGCCCUCGGCUUAACCGAGGAACUGCAUCGGAAACUGUUUUUCUUGAGUGCAGAAGAGGAGAGUGGAACUCCAUGUGUAGCGGUGGAAUGCGUAGAUAUAUGGAGGAACACCAGUGGCGAAAGCGGCUCUCUGGUCUGCAACUGACGCUGAGGCUCGAAAGCAUGGGUAGCGAACAGGAUUAGAUACCCUGGUAGUCCAUGCCGUAACGAUGAGUGCUAAGUGU
This 742-nucleotide ribosomal RNA is filed under the name uncultured bacterium. RNAcentral's name for it is "bacterial SSU rRNA". It matches the Rfam family "Bacterial small subunit ribosomal RNA", at positions 94 to 823 of the family's 1533-position model. The record is from RNAcentral.